CAAUACCACCCUGAACGCGCCCGAUCUCAUCUGAUCUCGGAAGCUAAGCAGGGUCGGGCCUGGUUAGUACUUGGAUGGGAGACAUCUAUUUUUUUAAAAGUUAGGUUAAUUUGU
Ribosomal RNA from Mesocricetus auratus (golden hamster), 114 nucleotides. The record is from Ensembl. Lineage: Eukaryota; Metazoa; Chordata; Mammalia; Rodentia; Cricetidae.